GGACCCGCACAAGCGGUGGAGCAUGUGGUUUAAUUCGACGCAACGCGAAGAACCUUACCUGGACUAGAAUGUGAGGGAAUGUCGGGUAAUGCCGACAGUCCGGGAAACCGGACCCAAAACAAGGUGCUGCAUGGCUGUCGUCAGCUCGUGUCGUGAGAUGUUGGGUUAAGUCCCGCAACGAGCGCAACCCUUAUCAACAGUUGCCAUCAUUUAGUUGGGAACUCUGUUGAGACUGCCGUUGAUAAAACGGAGGAAGGUGGGGAUGAUGUCAAGUCAUCAUGGCCUUUAUGUUCAGGGCUACACACGUGCUACAAUGGCCGGUACAAAACGUCGCAAUCUCGUAAGAGGGAGCUAAUCGCAAAAACCGGUCUCAGUUCGGAUUGAAGUCUGCAACUCGACUUCAUGAAGUUGGAAUCGCUAGUAAUCGCAAAUCAGCAUGUUGCGGUGAAUACGUUCCCGGGUCUU
Molecule: ribosomal RNA, 465 nt
Filed under: uncultured bacterium
Lineage: Bacteria
Description: bacterial SSU rRNA
Rfam family: Bacterial small subunit ribosomal RNA
Source: RNAcentral